AGAAUGUGAAGAAGAAUGUUGAGUAUGUGUUGGCUGUGUGCAGGAUUAAUUCUACAGCAGCCAUAUGUUGUCUUCUUCACGAAAAAGAUCCUAUUUGAACAGCAUACACAAUCAAAUGCUUUAUAGUGGGCAUGGAUGAAGACGCCGUCAAC
This is a long non-coding RNA of Perca flavescens (yellow perch), 152 nucleotides long. RefSeq lists it as uncharacterized. The record is from RefSeq and is a predicted model, not a curated record. Lineage: Eukaryota; Metazoa; Chordata; Actinopteri; Perciformes; Percidae. The transcript is spliced from 3 exons.